This 253-nucleotide ribosomal RNA is filed under the name uncultured bacterium. Its description in RNAcentral is "partial 16S ribosomal RNA". It matches the Rfam family "Bacterial small subunit ribosomal RNA", at positions 524 to 776 of the family's 1533-position model. The record is from RNAcentral.
UACGGAGGGGGCUAGCGUUGUUCGGAAUUACUGGGCGUAGAGCGCGCGUAGGCGGAUCUGCAAGUCGGGGGUGAAAUCCCGAGGCUCAACCUCGGAACUGCCUUCGAUACUGCGGGUCUCGAGUCCGGGAGAGGUGAGUGGAAUUCCUAGUGUAGAGGUGAAAUUCGUAGAUAUUAGGAAGAACACCAGUGGCGAAGGCGGCUCACUGGCCCGGUACUGACGCUGAGGCGCGAAAGCGUGGGGAGCAAACAGG